AAGGGAUCGCAUUGAUCC
This 18-nucleotide small nuclear RNA is filed under the name Arabidopsis thaliana (thale cress). RNAcentral's name for it is "snRNA_09193". Lineage: Eukaryota; Viridiplantae; Streptophyta; Magnoliopsida; Brassicales; Brassicaceae. The record is from RNAcentral.